Molecule: ribosomal RNA, 496 nt
Filed under: uncultured bacterium
Lineage: Bacteria
Description: partial 16S ribosomal RNA
Rfam family: Bacterial small subunit ribosomal RNA
Source: RNAcentral
AUGAACGCUGGCGGCGUGCCUAAUACAUGCAAGUCGAGCGAACAGACGCGGAGCUUGCUCCUCUGACGUUAGCGGCGGGCGGGUGAGAAACACGUGGAUAACCUACCUAUAAGUCUGGGAUAACUUCGGGAAACCGGAGCUAAUACCGGAUAAUAUAUUGCACCGCAUGGUUCAAUAGUGAAAGACGGUUUUGCUGUCACUUAUAGAUGGAUCCGCGCCGCAUUAGCUAGUUGGUAGGGUAACGGCUUACCACGGGAACGAGGCGUAGCCGACCUGAGAGGCGGAUCGGCGGCACUGGAGCGGGGACAGGGUCCAGACUCCUACGGGAGGCAGCAGUAGGGAAUCGGCCGCAAUAGGCGAAAGCCUGACGGAGCAACGCCGCGUGAGUGAUGAAGGUCUUCGGAUCGUAAAGCUCUGUUAUUGGGGAAGAACAAAUGUGUAAGUAACUAUGCACGUCUUGACGGUACCUAAUAAGAAAGCCACGGCUAACUACGUG